Molecule: long non-coding RNA, 583 nt
Organism: Rhagoletis pomonella (apple maggot)
Lineage: Eukaryota; Metazoa; Arthropoda; Insecta; Diptera; Tephritidae
Exons: 2
Source: RefSeq, a predicted model, not a curated record
GGAAUAAUACAAGGUGUUGGAUAUUGACAGCGUUCUCGCUCUAAUCCGCCAUCUUGGCUCCCUUAGCUAUAUCGGUGUUUCCCUCUUGAAAAAACUACAUUUUAUCGCCUUUAAAAAAGUACUAAACUACCUCAUUCCCUAUUCCAAAACUGAUUUGCAAUCACUGAACAAUUCUUUGACAUUUACUCUAUUCUUAUCGUUGGCAACUGAAAAUUAAAUUAGAAAUUUCAACAUUAAUUCGGCAAAAAAACAUCGGUUUAGAGUAGAGAGAUUUGUAGUUAUUUUGGUCGGUGCUUCCUUCCGCUGCAAUUCCGUCUGUGGUUCACUGCCACUGGCCUUGCUUUUUCAACGAUAUAACUGUUUUCUUGUGAUUUUUGCUGCUGCAAUCCCGUCUGUGGUUCACUGCCACUGGCCCUGCUUUUCCAACGAUAUAACUGUUUUUUUGGUAACUUCUACCGCUAAGACUUUGUUGCUUUUUCCCUUUUCCCUAAAAACAUAAUAGUGCUACAAAGCUCAAUAACAAUAUGGAAACAAAUGUUAAUAAGCCACAAUAAUAUUGACAAUAAAUAAGAUUUCACUACGA